UCCACACAGCUGAAUAAAAUCCCACAUUAUCUGCUUUAAACUGGGAUAUAUGGCAGUGUGGACUCAGAUAACCCAGUUCAAAGUAAAUAUUGUGGGAUUUUCUGCCUUGAUAUUCUAUGAUAUAGGGCAGUAUUAGAACACCAAGCAAAGUUGUUUCAGUCUAUUCUGCAUCACUUAAAGAACAACUUCGCAAAACUAAUUGAGUUGACUAAAGGGAGAGCCAAAAAAUGUUAGAUUUCAUAAAAAUGUCAUUAUAACAUAAUAGUUGAGGAGGAGGACAAACACUGAAUUGAGAUUAAAUUUAUGCCACCAAAUUGAUAGAUUUCUGGAAUAUUACUUUUUAAAAAACUUACACACAUGCGUUAACCCAAAGAACAUCUACUAAACUCCACAGCUGCUUUAUGAGAAAACAAUUUAUCAUUGUUGACAGUAUUAUGAGCUAUUGUGUUGCUGAAGAAAAAUAUUGCUUGAAGGCAUAGGAAUGAAUAUGUUCUUCAUUUUCUGAAAGAUUUGAAUUACGUUUGAUGGAGAUCAUUAUUUCUUCCUUCUUAUAGCUGUGAGCUUUCAUCUCUGUAAGUGGACUUACAUUUGAUGGAAUUAGAAUUGUACUAUUGCAUAAUGUUUGCAUCUAGUAGAGGACUGCUGCUACAUUACUGCGUAGCAAAGCCAACAAAGUUCCCAAUGUGCAUUGCUGCACAAUGUACACUGGUGUAAAAUGUUCACGAAUGUGCCACCAAUUUUCAAUGGCUCCACUGCAUGUCCUUCUUUAUUCCCAUCUAGCAUUUUCAUUCUGCUCUUCAGCUGGAAAAGUUCUCAGAGCACUGUACAUAUCUAUACAAACAAAAGACAAGAUAGUUGCUAUUGUCAUGCUUACAACUUUAAUAAUAAUCAUCAUCAUCAUCAUCAUCAUCCCAGGUGACAGUCGCAUUGACAAAAAACAACAGGAAAAACUCAGCCGCUAUCAGGACCUCAAGAUUGAACUUCAGAGACUCUGGCAGAAACCAGUGCAGGUGGUCCCAGUGGUGAUCGGCGCAUUGGGUGCCGUUCCAAAAGAUCUCAGCCGGCAUUUGGAAACAAUAGACAUUGACAAAAUUACGAUCUAUUUUAUUAUGACACAGCAAACAAGAUAAAUAUGCUGGAUUUCAUAUCACAAAAUCACAAGUCGAACACUUCCCAAGUGUCUAGGACUGUGUGAUGUAUUUUCGGAUGAUGCGCGCAGAUCCCAGCAGGGUGGCCUUUUGCAGUUGGCAGAUCAUAAUUUUGUCAAUGUCUAUUGUUUCCAAAUGCUGUCUGAGAUCUUUUGGCACGGGACCCAGUGUGCCGAUCAUCACCAGGACCACCUGCACUGGUUUCUGCCAGAGUCUUUGAAGUUCAAUCUUGAGGUCCUGAUAGCGGCUGAGUUUUUCCUGUUGUUUUUCGUCAAUGCAACUGUCACCUGGGAUGGCAACAUCAAUGAUCCAAACCUUUUUCUUUUCCACAACUGUGAUGUCUGGUGUGUUGUGUUCCAGAACUUUGUCAGUCUGGAUUCGGAAGUCCCACAGUAUCUUUGCAUGUUCAUUUUCCAAUACUUUUGCAGGUUUGUGAUCCCACUAGUUCUUUGCUGCUGGAAGGUGGUAUUAUUAUUAUUAUUAUUAUUAUUAUUAUUAUUAUUAUUAUUAUUGGUAAAAUACAAUUUGAUGGCCUGAAUGGGCUACAUUUUCCUUCAAAUAAAACAUGCAACAAACACUGACCUUUCUAAUGAUUUGUAACAAGUUCCACUGUUUUUUAAAAGUAAAAAUAGUGACAUGGUCGUUCCUUAAAAUAGUUUGACCACAUUGUAGUCUGUGCGAAGAGGGUCACAUAAUCUAUGCUAAGAGGGUCACUUGUAGGUCUUGACACUCGCUCAUCAUUCUUCAGCUUGAAAGCAUGUUUCUCAAGUGGAAAAUAAUGUUGAAGACGAGUAAGUUAAAAUUAAUGCUUGUUUGGCAUCUCCAAGCAAGAUGUUUGUCUUUCUAAGGAAGGGUUUGUUUUGUGACGAUUAUGUUCUUCUCUUGAUAAUUUAGGCAGCAUGCUAGCUGGCUUCCCACAUCAGCUUCUGAAGGGCAAGUGACUGCAUUUUCCUUCAUUGAAAGGAAUUUUAAUUGUCCUUGCCAGAAAUAGCAGGAACUCAAUGUCUUGUGCAAAAUAUUAAAAAAAUUAAAAUCAGGAUGUGAGUCAUUGUCAACAGCGGGACCCCUUUAGGUGUUCUGAGCACUCCGUAUCUUUAAUGGUGUAUGAGAUGAAAAUGAACCAAAGUGACGGGAGAAAGAAAAAAAGCCCAGCAUGCAGUAAGGGUCCAAAAUCUCUUGUGCCUUCAGCUUAGCAAUAACCUCUUUCACUUCCCAUAACUACAAGACCUUUUAUUUAAAUGAAUAUUGAAAUACAGGCAAAAUUCAUUUCAGGACAGUGUGGCAAGGAUGCUAUAUGGAAGGAACUUAUUUGAUGGCCUCUAGGGAUAGAGACCAGGAGGCUUUGCAGUUAAGCACCAAUAAAGUAUUCCCUCGCUACUUUGCAGUUCACUUUUUGCUCCCUUGCUGUUUUGUAGGUUUUCAAUUAAUAUUGAUGUACACUGGUGGUGGUGAAGUGUGUUAAAGCGCUGAGCUGCUGAACUUGCAGACCGAAAGGUCCCAGGUUCAAAUCCGGGGAGCGGAAUGAGUGCCCGCUGUUAGCUCCAGCUCCUGCCAACCUAGCAGUUCGAAAACAUGCAAAUAUGAGUAGAUCAAUAGGUACCGCUCCGGCGGGAAGGUAACGGCACUCCAUGCAGUCAUGCCGGCCACAUGACCUUGGAGGUGUCUACAGACAACGCCGGCUCUUUGGCUUAGAAAUGGAGAUGAGCACCAACCCCCAGAGUCGGUCACGACUGGAUUUAACAUCAGGGGAAAAGCUUUACCU
RNAcentral lists this long non-coding RNA (2910 nucleotides) under Anolis carolinensis (green anole). RNAcentral's name for it is "lncRNA (ENSACAG00000038022.1)". Lineage: Eukaryota; Metazoa; Chordata; Lepidosauria; Squamata; Anolidae. The record is from RNAcentral.